AGCUUUGGAAGGAUAAUCCAAAGAGCACUGAGUUUGGAUACACCAAAAGGCAGUUCUGGGCUUGCAAUCGGAGUUUGUUUUGCUACUCUCUGCUUAACGUGCACCAAGUUGGUUUGCUUGCACACACCAUACUGCAAUUCUGCUCCAGAGGCUGUCAGAUGAGACCUACCGAUUUGUUAGUUGACUUAACUGAGAUAGAUGACUUGUUCAGGGAACUUAUUAUUAGAUUAUCUCAGAGAAAAAAAAAGAAGAUUAAACUAGAGUUAUGAUUACAUUGUAUACUAUUUUUCUUUUACCUUAUUUUUGGCUUUGUCAAUUCUCUAAAAGAUAUAAAAGGGAAAAAGUUGUGUAGUUAAAAAAAAAAUAGUAUACAAUGUAA
Molecule: unclassified non-coding RNA, 379 nt
Filed under: Hevea brasiliensis (rubber tree)
Lineage: Eukaryota; Viridiplantae; Streptophyta; Magnoliopsida; Malpighiales; Euphorbiaceae
Source: RNAcentral